RNAcentral lists this unclassified non-coding RNA (279 nucleotides) under plant metagenome. RNAcentral's name for it is "partial contains small subunit ribosomal RNA, internal transcribed spacer 1, and 5.8S ribosomal RNA". The record is from RNAcentral.
UUUCCGUAGGUGAACCUGCGGAAGGAUCAUUAACGUACUAAGUGUGAGGUGCCUCCGCGGGCUGUCCCUUUCUCAGAAUUCGUGCACGCCCGUGUGUGUCCUCUUGCAUAAUAAUCCACCUCACCCUCUUUGCAUCCCCGCUUGGGCACCCUCCGGGAUCAUCCCGGCUUAGGGCUCGCGUUUUCACACAAACCCCCCUUUUAAAAGUUUAGAAUGUCCACAUUAAUCUUAUCACUACAACUUUCAACAAUGGAUCUCUUGGCUCUCGCACCGACGAAG